GGAGGGAGAAACGCUCCGCCGUCCCGGCCCAGCCCGGCCCGUCCCAGGCCCGGCUCCUGCCGAGCGGAGCCUCGCCGGAGAGCAGCCGCGGCGUCCCGGUCCCGGCCCCGGCCCCGCCGCCCGCUCACCUCAGCCCGCCGCCGGCAGCCUCCCCGGGCACCGACACCGACGCGCAGAGCGGCUCCCCCGGCCGUGGCCGCCCUUCCACAGGCGGAGGUAGCCAACGGAGAAUGGAAGCGCUGGAGUCGUGUCUGCCCGUGGGACUGGCUGGCCACCGAGGAAAUCCAGACGGCGUGAAAAGGGCCAGGAUUCGCCCGGGGACUGAACCUCCCUUUCUGCUGUGGGGGGAGACAUCGCGGUGCCCGCGGGGACGUCGAGGACAAAUGUCAGGUUUUGGCCCCUUGAUGUACAUUUUUGUGAAUGAAGGUGCACCUCCCUUUCCCAUGCGCGCCGGCGUUCAGGCUGGCGUGUUUACCGUUCCCAUUUCAGCGGGGGGACUGCGGAGCGGGACGGGUGCCGUGCAAGGACGCUCGGACAAAUUGCUCCGUGAGGAAGCCGGGGCUGAAAUCGCUUCGGUUGCUGCUGGCUUCCCGCGGCGGCCAGGUAACGAGACCGAGGUCGGCUUGGUGCCGGACUUCUUCCGAGGGUUCAAGGCCCUGCUGUUUUUCUCCAUCCUUUCAGGAUGAGGAGCUGCCCUCUGCUCCCGCAGCCGGUGCAGGGAGGCGGAAGAAACCCGGCGCGGAGGAAAGACUCUUUCUUUCUCCAUUUCUGUCGUUUCUCCCGGUUCCCAUGGGGAGACGUUUCAUCGCAGACCUGCGCGGGAAUUGAAGGCAGCCCUGGGCCUUCCUCCUCCUCCCCGCGCAGGGAAAAAGCAGAUUUAUCGCACCGGAAAGGUCCCCGGCAGCAGCUGGCCCUGGUGACAACCUGCCGCCAACAUCCGCUGGAGCCGUGCUGCCUUUUUCCCAGUGGCAACCCCCGAGAGGUCGGCGUCUUGUUCCGCACCUGGGAGCCUCCGGCAAGGAAUAUUUCUGCCCGGGACGGGCUUGGCCUUCUCGUGUAACUGUAAAAGGAGGGUUGAAGUUCACAAAUUAACAGAUUAUUAACCGCGGCUCUAAAAGUAACCAUAGAAACGGCGCGGUCGGAGGGGCAAGGAGCUCUCCGAGGGCUCCCC
Molecule: long non-coding RNA, 1171 nt
Filed under: Apteryx rowi (Okarito brown kiwi)
Lineage: Eukaryota; Metazoa; Chordata; Aves; Apterygiformes; Apterygidae
Description: lncRNA (ENSARWG00000007693.1)
Source: RNAcentral